RNAcentral lists this ribosomal RNA (586 nucleotides) under uncultured bacterium. RNAcentral describes it as "bacterial SSU rRNA". It matches the Rfam family "Bacterial small subunit ribosomal RNA", at positions 338 to 916 of the family's 1533-position model. The record is from RNAcentral.
CCUACGGGAGGCAGCAGUGGGGAAUUUUGGACAAUGGGCGAAAGCCUGAUCCAGCCAUUCCGCGUGCAGGAUGAAGGCCCUCGGGUUGUAAACUGCUUUUGUACAGAACGAAAAGGUUUCUACUAAUACUAGGAGCUCAUGACGGUACUGUAAGAAUAAGCACCGGCUAACUACGUGCCAGCAGCCGCGGUAAUACGUAGGGUGCAAGCGUUAAUCGGAAUUACUGGGCGUAAAGCGUGCGCAGGCGGUUAUAUAAGUCAGAUGUGAAAUCCCCGGGCUCAACCUGGGAACUGCAUUUGAGACUGUAUAGCUAGAGUGCGGUAGAGGGGGAUGGAAUUCCGCGUGUAGCAGUGAAAUGCGUAGAUAUGCGGAGGAACACCGAUGGCGAAGGCAAUCCCCUGGACCUGUACUGACGCUCAUGCACGAAAGCGUGGGGAGCAAACAGGAUUAGAUACCCUGGUAGUCCACGCCCUAAACGAUGUCAACUGGUUGUUGGGUCUUAACUGACUCAGUAACGAAGCUAACGCGUGAAGUUGACCGCCUGGGGAGUACGGCCGCGAAGGUUGAAACUUAAAUGAAUUGACGG